This 449-nucleotide ribosomal RNA is filed under the name uncultured bacterium. RNAcentral's name for it is "partial 16S ribosomal RNA". It matches the Rfam family "Bacterial small subunit ribosomal RNA", at positions 29 to 523 of the family's 1533-position model. The record is from RNAcentral.
AACGAACGCUGGCGGCAUGCCUAACACAUGCAAGUCGAACGAGAUCUUCGGGUCUAGUGGCGCACGGGUGCGUAACGCGUGGGAAUCUGCCCUUUGGUUCGGAAUAACAGUUGGAAACGACUGCUAAUACCGGAUGAUGACGAAAGUCCAAAGAUUUAUCGCCAGAGGAUGAGCCCGCGUAGGAUUAGCUAGUUGGUGUGGUAAAGGCGCACCAAGGCGACGAUCCUUAGCUGGUCUGGGAGGAUGAUCAGCCACACUGGGACUGAGACACGGCCCAGACUUCUCCGGGAGGCAGCAGUGGGGAAUAUUGGAAAAUGGGCGAAAGCCUGAUCCAGCAAUGCCGCGUGAGUGAUGAAGGCCUUAGGAUUGUAAAGCUCUUUUCCCCGGGAUGAUAAUGACAGUACCGGAAGAAUAAGCUCCGGCUAACUCCGUGCCAGCCGCCGCCGUAA